CAGAAUGAACGUUGGCGGCGUGGAUUAGGCAUGCAAGUCGAGCGAGAAUCUGUCUGUUGAAGCUUCGGUGGAUUCAGUCAGAGGACAGCGGCAAACGGCGUAGUAAUGCGUAGGUACGUACCCUCAGGUUGGGGAUAGCCACGGGAAACUGUGGGUAAUACCCAAUAAUAUCUGCGGAUCAAAGGUGUGAUUCCGCCUGAGGAGCGGCUUACGUGAUAUUAGCUUGAUGGUGGGGUAAUGGCCUACCAUGGCAACGAUGUCUCGGGGGUGUGAGAGCAUGGCCCCCACGACCGGAACUGAGAUACUGUCCGGACACCUACGGGUGGCUGCAGUCGAGAAUCUUCCGCAAUGGGCGAAAGCCUGACGGAGCGACGCCGCGUGCGGGAUGAAGGCCCUUGGGUUGUAAACCCGCUGUCAGAGGGGAUGAAAUCACGGUUGGUUAUCCUUCCGUGUUGACAGAGCCUCAAAGGAAGCACGGGCUAAGUACGUGCCAGCAGCCGCGGUAACACGUACUGUGCGAACGUUAUUCGGAAUCACUGGGCUUAAAGGGUGCGUAGGCGGUUUAUCAAGUCAGAUGUGAAAUGCCUGAGCUCAACUGAGGCACUGCGUUUGAAACUGAUAGACUUGAGUAUUUCAGGGGUAUGCGGAACUGCCAGUGGAGCGGUGAAAUGCGUUGAUAUUGGCAGGAACACCAGUGGCGAAGGCGGCAUACUGGGAAAUUACUGACGCUGAGGCACGAAAGCCAGGGUAGCGAACGGGAUUAGAUACCCCGGUAGUCCUGGCUGUAAACGAUGAGU
RNAcentral lists this ribosomal RNA (797 nucleotides) under uncultured Planctomycetaceae bacterium. RNAcentral describes it as "bacterial SSU rRNA". It matches the Rfam family "Bacterial small subunit ribosomal RNA", at positions 25 to 814 of the family's 1533-position model. Lineage: Bacteria; Pseudomonadati; Planctomycetota; Planctomycetia; Planctomycetales; Planctomycetaceae. The record is from RNAcentral.